GGGGAAUAUUGGACAAUGGGCGAAAGCCUGAUCCAGCCAUGCCGCGUGUGUGAAGAAGGUCUUCGGAUUGUAAAGCACUUUAAGUUGGGAGGAAGGGCUGCAAGUUAAUACCUUGUAGUUUUGACGUUACCAACAGAAUAAGCACCGGCUAACUUCGUGCCAGCAGCCGCGGUAAUACGUAGGGUGCGAGCGUUAAUCGGAUUUACUGAGCGUAAAGCGUGCGUAGGCGGCUUUUUAAGUCGGAUGUGAAAUCCCCGAGCUUAACUUGGGAAUUGCAGUCGAUACUGGGAAGCUAGAGUAUGGGAGAGGAUGGUAGAAUUCCAGGUGUAGCGGUGAAAUGCGUAGAGAUCUAGAGGAAUACCGAUGGCGAAGGCAGCCAUCUGGCCUAAUACUGACGCUGAGGUACGAAAGCAUGGGGAGCAAACA
RNAcentral lists this ribosomal RNA (426 nucleotides) under uncultured Moraxellaceae bacterium. Its description in RNAcentral is "bacterial SSU rRNA". It matches the Rfam family "Bacterial small subunit ribosomal RNA", at positions 356 to 774 of the family's 1533-position model. Lineage: Bacteria; Pseudomonadati; Pseudomonadota; Gammaproteobacteria; Moraxellales; Moraxellaceae. The record is from RNAcentral.